UUUCACAGGAGAUUUUGCUCA
Molecule: non-coding RNA, 21 nt
Organism: Caenorhabditis elegans
Lineage: Eukaryota; Metazoa; Nematoda; Chromadorea; Rhabditida; Rhabditidae
Source: Ensembl